CUGUCUUUUAGGAUUUGAUACCAUUGAAAAGAUUACUGCUUCUGCGGUAUUGACAUAAUAUUACAUUAUAUGACUAUAUAGACUAUGUACCAAAAAUAUAUCAGAAACGAUCCAUAGAAUUAUGCAGCGAAUAUUUACCGAUAAUUUAUUAAAAAAUUAUUCAUAUAUUGGUUUUAAUGGGAAACAAAAUUUUUCAAAAACAGAAAGCCGUAAGUUAUUUUGUGAUAAUUAAAUAUUAUAUAAUUAUGUAUAAUUUGUAUACUUGGAUAUAUAUGAUAUUAUAUUAUUUUCUAAAUAGUUAUGGUAAUUAACUGAUAGGAAAAAAAAUGGAUCAAAAGAAUAUUGAUUUAAAGUCUAUAUUUUGCAAAUUAUGAUUUUACUUUUUUCAUAAACAUAUGCCGUAUUAUUUAUUUUAAGGUAUAAUAAGUUGAAUCAUCUCAACACAUUGACGGACACUUGUAAUAUAAUUUUUACUGUUAUAUUAGUAAUGCUAUACCUGCAUCCAAAAUCUAUGCAAUUCGUCAUUGUGGACUGCCGUAAUGUGGCAGUCCAAUUUCUUCUAUGAUUUAAUACCAUUGAAAAGAUCAAUGCUUCAGUAGUAUUGACUGAAUAUGAUAUUUUGAAUAUUACUGCUACAGCAGUAAUAUACAUUAAUGUGUUAAAAUAAUAGUAUAAUAUAAUGUUUAACGUACGUAAUAACAUUAUUACAUUUUUAAAUAAUUAGAUGCAAUUAGAGAUAUGAAAACAUUUACAAAUGUACCUGAUGCAAAAAUAAACGAUGGGAUAAAAAGUUGGCUGACUCAAGUUUAUAAUAGGCUUAUAAAAAAAGGAAAAGCCAAUUCAAC
Cinara cedri is the source of this 845-nucleotide non-coding RNA. NCBI's taxonomy places the organism in Eukaryota, Metazoa, Arthropoda, Insecta, Hemiptera, Aphididae. The record is from the annotation of a GenBank genome assembly.